GUGCUCGCUUUGGCAGUACAUAUACUAAAAUUGGAACGAUACAGAGAAGAUUAGCAUAGCCCCUGAGCAAGGAUAACACACAAAUGUAAAUUAUUGGUUUAUUUACUU
Small nuclear RNA from Sorex fumeus (smoky shrew), 108 nucleotides. The record is from RefSeq and is a predicted model, not a curated record. NCBI's taxonomy places the organism in Eukaryota, Metazoa, Chordata, Mammalia, Eulipotyphla, Soricidae.